RNAcentral lists this ribosomal RNA (254 nucleotides) under uncultured bacterium. RNAcentral describes it as "partial small subunit ribosomal RNA". It matches the Rfam family "Bacterial small subunit ribosomal RNA", at positions 26 to 285 of the family's 1533-position model. The record is from RNAcentral.
AGGACGAACGCUGGCGGCGUGCUUAACACAUGCAAGUCGAGCGGAAAGGCCCUUCGGGGUACUCGAGCGGCGAACGGGUGAGUAACACGUGAGUAACCUGCCCCUAGCUCUGGGAUAGCUCCGGGAAACCGGGAUUAAUAUCAGAUACGACCACUUUAGACAUCUGUCGUGGUGGAAAGGAUUCCGGCUAGGGAUGGGCUCGCGGCCUAUCAGCUUGUUGGUGGGGUAACGGCCUACCAAGGCGACGACGGGUA